ACUCGACCUACUUGAAAUUGCUGAAUCAGCACUUUCUUCAGUCGGUAAACCAACACUCAAGUAGACGAGCUGUAGACGUAGCGACGUGUUGAUAGUUUGGUAGCUGUAUAAUAAGUGACUCAUUCAACAUCAGUUCCGCCACACUAAUCACGUGACCUCUAUAAAAACCCUCAUUUACAACAACACAUUACAGUUUCAGUUGGUCUGUCUAAAGAUGGCGAACAAGUCGACAAGAGGCUUUGAUCUUAAACAAGAUUAUGAAAUCAGGAAGACCUUAAACAGAGACCAGAUGAUCGAGAAAUUAGAUGAAUGGGCGAAAGGAAAUUAUGAAGCGGAUAUGAAGAUGGUUGGGUAUAAAGGUUUUGAGAGUGUCAGUAAAGCUGUCGGUGAAUUUUACACAGAAAACAGAGAAAAUGUAAAAAUUCUUGAUAUUGGCGCUGGAACUGGUUGGGCUGGCAUGGAGCUACAGAAACUUGGUUUUAAAACAAUGGACGGAGUUGAUCCCAGUAAAGAAAUGAUGAAAGUAGCAGAAAGCAGAAACAUUUAUGAUAAAUAUUUCAUCGAAUACGUUGAUGGUAACAGAUUGCCUAUAGAUACAGGUAGUUACGAUUGUGCGAUAUGUGCCGGUGGAUUUUCAGAAAAUUUGAUACCAACAAAUGCUUUGUUUGAGAUGACGAGGGUCGUGAAACGAGGAGGUAUUGUAUGUUUUUGUAUCCAGGAUAGUAAUUUGGUGAAAGUUGAUGAAUUGAAGGGACGUUUCAUGCCGUUAAUUGGACAGUUUUUAUCUGAAGGAGUCUGGCAGGAAGUGAGAAGGGAAACCAUAACAGAUCUUAUAACUGGUGGAGAUGGCGUUGUCAUGACAUUUAGAGUUUUAAUAUCUGAACCAUCUAUACCUCAAUUACCAGUUCUAAGAAAAUAGACUUUUAAUACAUUGAAGUAAUAAACCUCUACCCAUAAACUGAGUGGCUUCGUCUCAUGAACUUAA
Molecule: long non-coding RNA, 985 nt
Organism: Patella vulgata (common limpet)
Lineage: Eukaryota; Metazoa; Mollusca; Gastropoda; Patellidae
Exons: 5
Source: RefSeq, a predicted model, not a curated record